Small nuclear RNA from Camelus dromedarius (Arabian camel), 99 nucleotides. The record is from Ensembl. NCBI's taxonomy places the organism in Eukaryota, Metazoa, Chordata, Mammalia, Artiodactyla, Camelidae.
CCCCUUUGGCAGCAGAGACACUAAAUUUGAAUGACACAGAGGUUAGCAUGGCCCCUGAGCGAGGAUGACAUGCAAAUUCGUGAUGUAUUCCACGUUAAA